GCCUCUAUGGUCUAGUUGGUUAUGACGCAGGUCUCAUACUUUGAUAUGACAUUUCUGUUAACAGAAAUGACUUGUGCGACAUCCUGAGGUCCCCAGUUCGAUCCUGGGUGGAGGCA
Molecule: non-coding RNA, 116 nt
Organism: Aspergillus egyptiacus
Lineage: Eukaryota; Fungi; Ascomycota; Eurotiomycetes; Eurotiales; Aspergillaceae
Source: the annotation of a GenBank genome assembly